UUGUCCUGCCAUUAUCUACCCUUGUAAAGAUUUGACUCCCCUCCUGUUUUUAGUCUCCUUAUAGGUACUGGGAGGCAGCAAUGAGGUCACCCCACAGCAUUCUCUUCUCCAAGCUGAACAAGCACAGCUCUCUCAGCCUGUCUUCAUAGGGGAGGUGCUGCAGCUCUCUGAUCAUCGUGGAAAGCAUGGUGCUGUUGGCCCUACGCAAUUGGACUGCAGACAAAUUAAUUCAAUCAGUACAUCCAGAUAACAAGUAAACUGCCUUUUCACUGCCACUGAAUCAUAGAACAAUAUAAUGGUUUGUGUUGGAAGGGACCUUAGAGAUCAUCCAAUUCCGACAGGAAUUGGACAAUGGACAGGGCUGCCACCCACUAGAUCAGGCUGGCCAGGAAGAUACCAUGUUCUACAGCACAGAGACCAUAAGCAUACUUAAAUUGCAAAAAAUGCAUUUUUUAUUUAUUUUCUAUCAAAUUAACUUAUAGAAGAUGGUCUGCAACUUCUUUUAUAUAUUACUCUUUUCUGUUUUUACACAUUUGUACACAGAAAAUAUUAUGACAAGUUAGUGGUCCCGAGAAGGCAAAACUAAGCACUCAAAAAUUUAGAAAAUACCCAACUAAAUUCAACUGUGAAAUGCCAAUUUGGACUGUUGCAAAUGUAAUUGCAAAAGGUAAUGACACUCUCUUGGCUCAUAGAGGCACAUAUUACGCUGCCCACAGGACUUUUUGCAUUGUUUGUUAAACACUUCAUUUCAGCUUUCAUUUUGAAUGCAUUAUUCCAUACUCAAGUUACUAUACAGCUCUCAUUCUGAAGUCAGAAUUACUAAUUUUUUCAUUUUUCCUGUGGCAUUGAGGUAUCUGCAAAUACUGCUUUGUUUUUUAUGACGUACACCACCUCUCUUUCACACAGUGAAGUAAGGACAUGUUUUACCCUCCUUUAAGAGAAGAACUGACAUACAGUCACUGAAGUCCAGGACAGCAUUAUCAGAGAGAUUGAGACCCUUAGAUUUUCCAGAUAUAAUCACGAGCUGUUCAUGAUACAUAGAGAUUCCAUCAGCACCAGCAAGCUUCUUUCAUGGCUGAGAAUCCAUCAAAGCCUCUGGAUGAGGCAGUUGGUGACCAAUUUUCGUAGAGGAAGUGCCCAUCCGUACAGACCAGAAAACACAGAGAGACCAACUGCAUGGCAUUUCUGCCAUGGCACCAGCACGAUUCAUGCUUGAAAAGCUCCUCUUUUGCCAGGAAACAGGAAAGAGCUGAAAUAAAUAGGAUUGCAUGCUAAAACCACAUCAUAAAGGGAUUGGAAGGGAAGUAGGCAAAGAAAAGUGUUCAAGAAACUCAGUUCUGGCAGUUUCUGAGGCUUAAGUUUGUCCUUUCCCUGCUGUUUUGGUCCUGUGAUUUACUACACAAUUACAGCAGUGUGAAAGCAGAACUGUGCUCCCAGCACAGGAAGCUCCAUUGCAAAGCAUCCAAGUGACGCACCCUGAGCCACCAUCAGGCCUCUGCCUCCAGGCCCAGUGCAGGCCGCACAAAGCAGCAAAGAGCUGUGACUGCACAACAAGGCACAGAGUCAUGUCCCUGAGAUUCAGGCUGGGGGUGGUCUGACGUAGCCAGGCUGUUAGUGUAUGCAGUCAGCAGGUCUCUAAGGGUGUGCUGUGCUUCCUCACCACACCUGACAUGCAGCCUUUGUUGCAAUUUCUGCUUUUGGAAACGAAGUGCACUACUUUCUCUCAUAUAUACACACAUCUUCAUAUAAUCAAAAGAAGAUUAGCUGUCCAUUUUUCCUGAGCAAAAUCAGACUACAUGUACAUUUAAGAAGUCACUUCACCAGCCACUGACAUCCAUCCAUUUUGAGCCUAAAGUGUGGUAGAUUUGUAAGGGACCAUCUUUGCACACAGGUUGUUCCCAGUGGAGGUCAAUGCAUCAAGUUUCAAAAGUGGGGCCAUAACAUUAUGCAGGAGACAGCAGUCAGGAUCAGCAUGGAAAGCUAGACCAGCGAUAGGUUGUUGCCAAACAUUGAGAUUCCCCCGGACCCUCUUUUCCCACCUAUUUUCUCCUCUUUCUGCCUCCAAGUGUUUCCUUCUACCAACCACACAGCCUCCAUCUCUCCUUCUCAGAGUUACAACUUUCCUCUUCUGUGAAGAGCACCUGUCUGAACUUAAUCUCUAGAUGAGGAGAUCAGAUACUAUUUACAAAACUGCUGCAGGAGUACACCCAUGCAAAAAAUACAAGUUAGAAAGCUCUCAGCUGUAGAAGUAGGCCUGCAGGAAAAUCACAUAAAGUCUGAUUGCACUGAUACUAAAUUAUUAUGGUAGUUUGAAGUUUUAUGAAGCAGUAGUUCUAAUAAUGUCAUUCUAGUACUCUGUACUUAGAGUAUAGUUACCAUCUGGGGAAAAAUAACGUUCCUUCAUCGAUGUGGCAAAAAACUCUUUCAUAUCAAAGCUAUUGCCUUUAGUGAAUAUGUAUAAAUGAAAAACUGAAACCUAAUAAUAUAUACAGCUAGGUAGAUUACAUUGCUUACCAUGAAAUAAUGGAAUGCGCUUUGGUGCUUCUGGUUUCAACAGAGAAGGGAAGAAUUCAAAUUCUUAUUAAUGAUUAGUAUUCUUCAUGUGUAAAUGACAUCAAACUGCCAAUCAAAUCAUGUUAUCACUCUAAGGAUGAAGUACUGAACUAAACAGUUUGCAGAUUGUUUAUUAUCUGUCUCACAACUAUCCUAAGCUCAUAUGUAGCUUUAGUUCCUACGAUAUUCCCCAAAGAUUAUAGAAUCAACUUGAGUGGCAACUUGGGUACUUUUAGUGAUUCACAGACUUAUAGGACAGUCUAGACCAAAUUCCAGACUAAAUUAAUUUUAUCAGUUAAGAAUAAGUGGGGCAAACAUUAAGAUACACAACAUAUUGGCUGAAUUGCUGAUAAAAUGGAAUCUUUUUUAGGGUUAUUGCUUGACUGCAUACUGUUGACUAUUAGUUUUGGAAUGUAUUUCAUCUUCUCAGUUAUACUCUAUUGUAUUGGAAAGGUUUUUUGCUAGAACUAGAAACACAAAAAUGUUUGGGUCCCACAGACCCCUAAACUCCUGCUCACCUGCUGAAGACUCCUGCUCACCUUAAAGACUACUGGCAGCUCUGUUUUUUACAGUAAAGUUUUCUAUGUUCUUGGACAUGCCUGCAAGUUGUCCAAGAAAAAUAUACAAAUUUUCUAAUGACUUGAGUACACUUUGUUUUGGGUGAAUAUGUUGUUGCUAAAUAUUUUAGUCUGGGAUUUGACCUAUUUUGUAGAUUUGUCAUCUUACGGCAAAUUUUAUCCCAUUUUAUGUUUCCAAAUACAAAAAAAUCCAUAUUGUUUUUUCACUGAGAACCAGCCAAAGCAUCGCCUUACAAUCAUCUUCUGUUCCUGCAUGCUCAUGAGCUCUGCAAUUAGACAGUAUUAGCCAAACAGGGCAGAAUCAACAUUAUCUCAGAAUUUCUUUGAUUCUGGAGAUGUAGGUCAGACCAACUUUUAUGAAAUGAGGUUUAGUGGUUUCAUUUAAUUUUUCAUUGUACUCUCUCCUUCUCUCUCUCUCUCUCUCAAAAAAAAAAAAAAAAAGUUUAAAAGGAAAAAGAUGUUGCUGAUACAGGCAAAAAUAGGAAAGCUGGACUGAUGGACUCAGGGAGGAAUAAAAGAUGAGUGUGUUUGGCAAAGCACUCAUGUGGAAGAGCUCUGCUAGGGAUGAUGAGAGAUUUCUGUGGAGCCAGCCCUGGAAGAAUGAAUCCGUGCAGAGAAGAGAGGCAAGCCAGGGAAGAAGUGUUUGAGGGAAGAUCUAAAAAAGAUGACAUGUACUAAUGGCUCUGUGGAUGCAACCCACUGCAAACUGCAGUGGCCCUGCCACAGAAACAUAAAUUGCAGUGGCCCUGCCACAGAAACAUUAACUGCCAAUACAUGUGUUAAUCUUCCAGACGCCUUGUAGGGGUUUAGAGGGGAAAAAACUAAUGCAGAGAAGCAGCUUCAGGUAGUGCUCAGUAGGGACCUGUUUAAUGUGGAUAUUGGGAAAAAGCUAUGAAUAACUGACAGAAUUGCUACUUGGAAAGAUACAUAAGCAUUGCUCGGUGCAAUGUCUAUUUCUACUUGUCUGAAAGGUGUGUAGCUCAGGGCCAUGCGGUCACUUCCACCAGACCAUCGCCAUAUUCGGAGAAUAUGCCUUAUGCCUUUUCAGUCUCCAAGAUUCAGCUGCUUCACUCUGGGAUGCAGAAAGGCACCUGCAUUGUGGGAGAAAUCGGCGCUCUGAGUCUGACUGCAGGCAGGGCCAUGACUGUCAAGUGAUCUUUUGUGAUACAGGGGACAGGGGACAGUUUCUCCCCACCCUCACACAGCUUCCCAGCUUGCACAUGGAAGUAAACACCACUUGGAGCGAAGCGAAAUGCAAACACUUUCCUCCUUUUAAGUAGUUUAGCAAAUGGUCUAGAGAAAGGAGCACAGUACAGAGUCAUUCAACAUUAGUUUGUUGAUUCAGAUGCGACCUGCAAGAAGUUGACAGAAUUAUUGCUGGCAAAAGCCCACUUGGCAGCCUACAGAGAAGCCUUGUUUAUAUUUCAUUCUAUGGAAGUGGCCAUGGCUGCUGAUCUCCAUUCCCAGACCCUGCUGAUGGUGGGGUUAACAGAUGUCCUCACUUGCAGCAGGCUGAGGGCACACUGUUUUGAGGCUCCAGCACCUGCGUCUGCAUGCAGAGGCUGAGGCUCAGUGUGUCUUGGUGUCACAGUGCUGACUGCCAUGCAUCUUCACUACAACCCAAAGGCCCUAGUGGGAACAUAAUUGGUGUUCAUGUCCCUGCUUGGCUGUGAGGCCUUGGGUUGAGGCACACAGGCAGUCGCUGCCUUCUCUGGCAGGUUUGGCAGCCUGUGCUGCAUGCUCUGCUGCCCCAGCCAGUGCUGGCUCUUGGUGGACCUGGCUUAAACUGGCUUGGAGAGGCCCACACCAUACUUCAGCUGCUGGGGAUUGCAUCCUCUAAGCCUGUCUUCAGUCACAGCCAGACUGAAGGUAGGGAAAAGGUAGGGAAAAGGGAUUUGUAGUUAAUGUUGGUAUAACUACAGAAGCAAAGAGGCCUGUGUGAGCUCCCAUUUUGCUGUUUUUGCUGCCCUGCACAAGGAAGCAUAUGCUGCCCUGCACAAGGAAGCAUAUGCAGCCCUGCACAGGGCUGGUUCCUUCACUCCCAGCCCAACAUUCCCAUGCCUACAUGGGCACAGCAGCUCUCAGGCUGGAUCCUGCACCACCAGCCUGGAGCUGACCCCAGUACAGCACCUCGGGCUUGUUUUCAUGGCCUAGGGAAACAUGAUGGGACAUUUGCAGGCUGGAGAGAGCUGGGCCCUGCUUAGCAGCCCCUCCCACUACUGCUCUGCAUACAACACAUACCCAUAUAUAUGUUCAUCUAUCUCACGGAUGGAUGUGGGCCAUACCCAGCAAUCAGUAUUCAGUUCUUAAAUCCCAGCUACUUAAACCUCAGUGCUUUGGCAAUUUGAAAUUUAAACUCUGUAAGAGGUGCAUCUCUUUUUAGAAAAGGAAAUACCUCCCAGCAUAGCAUGUUUGAUAUUCAGAUAUAAAUAGAAAUUUCACACCUUCAAACCUUCUGUCCUGCAACUCUUUACAGCAUGACAUGUAUGUUUUUCCCUUUUUUGCCUUUCUGGAUCAGUAUGAACAUCUUAAAUACUUAUAAGACACUUAAAUAUAAGACUACACUCUACAAAUAUCAUCUGGAAAAAAUACCAGGGAAGAAGUUAAGCCAAAGACAAUGCUAGUAAAACCAAUGAGUAGGAAGGGGCCCAGAAUAAAAGUACAUUAGAAAUUAAAGUUUUUCUGGUAUCAGAGGACUGUAACUGUGGAGCCACUUUUCUGUAAGUAACCAUCGGUUAAGUGUUGGCUAAUUUUGCUCAGUCCUUAUGGAAAGGAAUAGAUGAUGUGAUUGCCCAAGUCACACAACCCCAAGCCUAUCUGCUGUGUUCAUAAUGGUGCAGCCAGGAUUGUCUAGUAUAGUGUUUUUCAGGAGUCUUACAGCAAAAUGGAUGGCUUCUCCCUGUCCAGUCUGUUUCUGUGACCUGUACAGCUCUUAACUGAAAUUCUCCUUCAUUUUUUUAAUUUGUAUUGUGCUGUAGAUUUUUAUUAUUCUUGAUCAAUUUCAGAUGCUGCUCGUUACACCCACAGCAAACUAAACAGAAGAGGAGCCUUCAAUCAAAGUUGCUGGAUUCUGGAUAACUUGUGAAGAUUCAUUGUUUUUUAUCCAGUUAAAAACCUCUGAGUGCUUUGCAGCAAUGUUAUUACUGGACUGCUUGCUUCCAUAUGAACAUUACCAAAUUAUUGUCAUAUGUCCAAAUGAUUAACUCAGCUUCUGCCUGCCUUCUUUUUAUUUUCUUUUAGGUUACUACCAAAAUUUCUUAAAUAUGUACUCAAGUCAGUGAGCUUAUGAGCUAAUGCUCAAAGAGGGGACUUCUUGGGAAGUAAGGAGGGCUCAGUAAGAUCUUUUUAGCCUCUUUUUGAUUAGACACAAGCCUGAUCUGAAACCAUAGUGACAGCCUUGUAGAAUGAUGUCUUGAAGGACAAGCUGAGAACUAAUUGGAAGAUGGACACCGAAGGGUUCAUGCAUAGGGAUGACCUCUGGGCUGUGGAUAUGUGCGGUGCUGCCUUCAAAGCCAUUUGGUCCUCAUAUGUUCUUUCAUGGAACUGAACUGGGACUCCUCCAGAAGUACAGAGUAAAAUGUUCACACCAUAAUCACAAGAUGGAAGAAGAUGGUAUUUUUCAGGCACUUGGGCAUAUGCAUUUGUUCCCUACAACACAUUUUCCAUACUCAAAAAAGGGUUAAUGACUUCUCUUCAGUUGCUAGGUAAUUCUGUCUUGUCACUGGGACAACUUACUAGUUAGUGACAGCUUUUCUGAUGAUGUAAUGCUUAAAUAGUAAUUGUGGAGUGCAUUAAAUUACAUUUUUAUUUUUCUUGCUUUCUUUAGAAAGCUGGGAAAUGAAACAUAAAAUUCUGCAGCAUUGUGAUAUUGUGGCUGCAUGGAUAAAUCAGCCAAAUGCCAGAAAAUACAGAAGCUGAACAUUAGUCUAAAGAGACAUCUUCAGCUCUGAGAGAGUGAGCUCUCUGGAUAAUGGACUUUAUUACAGCCUUUGGUAUGAAGUACUGUUGCUUCAUAGUUCUUGGACCAAUGUAGUUUGGAAUGAUUCGUUCAAGUAAUGGGCCACUGUAAUAAUACAUAUGGAAAAUUCAGAUGGGCUUUGUAGCAGUUAAAAACUCCUUUGCUCAUUCUCAUUUUAUUUUUCAUAUUUCAGUUUAAUUCAGCAAUUGGAGCCACUCUCAUAAAACAACAAGCACUGUUUGGAUUUAAAUUACUUUUGGACUCAGACCAAAUUGCUCAAAAACACAUGCGGGCUGAGGUGCAGCCAAAACUCAUGCAUUCAGGUCAGCUCCAGAGGUGCAUUCUUUGGAAUAUCAGAUUUGGAAUAAUUGCUAAUUUGUUCCCAGGUAACAGGAAAACACAUUAAAGUGAGUAAAACUAUUAAACAAACAUUUCCUUCUCAUUUCUGUUCAUUUCAUUCAGCCAAAUGAUCCAACCCAGAUCACUCCUUUCCUAGCCUGGGAAGUAAGGAGGAGGGAACUGAGUCUCACUGAGGCUUUGCACCCUUAAAAUCCAGAGGGCUGGAGAGAUUGUCAGCCUCAGCUGUGGUGCACUCCACCAGUGCCUGAUCCCUCACCUUCCUUGGGCCCUCUUUUUCUUUUUUUUUUGUCUUUAUGGGAUCAUCCAGGAAACCUUUAGUGACCAUGCAGAGCUAUACUCUCACUAAAACUUAUGCAAGUGUGCUGAUCUCAGCAGAUGUGCUUGAAUGUUGCUGAGAGUAGCAGUCUCAGCCACCAACAGUGGCAAUCCAGCAUCUGUGUGUUUCCCAUCUGUCAAAGUAAAAUGUCCUGUUCUGGGCUCUUGCUACUGCAAACUGUCUCCUCAGUUGAAAUGUGCAAGGAGACUAUUAGCUCUCUGAGAUGAGUGUAGGGUUCACUUCCAGGACAGCACAAGAAGUUGAAGGGCUUUAGCACCCAGCUUUUUUGUGCCACCAAGGAAACUAGCAAGAAUACAGCAUGCAGGCUGAAAGGAUAAGGGAAAUCACUGUAUGCUUAUGGGAGCCUGGUUGCAUUUUGGGACAUGCAGUCUUAAUAACGAUGGAUGCUGUAUUGAAAGUAAUACAUGAGGUGAGAUUAUUCUUGUAUUCAGGUUCAGGUGAGAUUAUUCUUGUAUUCAGGUUCAGCAUAGAUAUUAUUUACCAACACUGCAAUGCACAGUAAUUACUGGAAAGUUUUCCUACAUCAGAGCAUUCAAAUAAUUGUGGUAUGCCAUCUACUUAUAUGAAAAAGCAGUAGUAGGAAAAUACCUGGUUACAGACUGUGAACCACCUUAGAUAGAUAGAUUUUAUUAUACUACAUUUUCAGCCUGUACAUAUGUAGUUAUACUAGGACAAGGACUGAUGGAUCACUGUGGAUGGUGUUACCAGGUACAUUUGAUUUCAUUUGAUGAGAUAGGAGGUUUCAUCCUAUUCAAUCACCUACCUCAUCUCAAAAGACACAAUCCCCUUACAGUGAUGUGUAACAUACAGAGCAUCAUCCAGGCCAAGGCAGAGUGCAGUGCUUCAGAGCCAUCCCAUUUUGCACCAGUGUUUUUCCCAACACAAAGCAGGUGGUAGGAACAAGCCUGUCACAUCACUGUGCUGCAUCCUGAGGUGUCACAUCCAUCCCUGAGAGCUACCAGAGAUGUGUUCAUGUGAUGGAGCCUGAUCUGUGGCUGUGCUUAUUUCUUCACAUCCAGAUCCAUCAUUGACAGUGGUGCCUUGUCUGGGCAUGCGAAACAUUUGAGACAGUAAUAGAAGCAUUGAAUGUAGUAAGGGAAGAAGAUUUAGCCCCACAAAUUGAGGCUUGCAGUGAUCAUCCUUGGACCUUUCAACAAAUUCCCAACAAAGUCUAAUAUAGGACAAAAGAGACUGCAUGACAUUACUGCUGAAAAUUAAACUAUUACUUUGGUAUUCUUUUAAAACACUUUAUCUUCUAUGGAUCAGUGCUCUCCACAAAAAUUAGUUACAGCAGCAUACACUUAUAAGCACGUUGACUGAGUUCCCUGCCUGCAAUCCCAGCAAUUUUUGUUACCCUUACCUUACAAAGAAUGGGCAUAUCAUGAAAACAGCCUGGCUGCCUGCCUGCCCUCAUCCAAAUAUAAGACUUGGCACAAAGUGUGGCCGCAAAUUAUUAACCCCCUCUGUAAUGCACUCUGAAAUUAAAUGUUAGUUCACAUUUAAGCUUAUGGUCAAACCAUGAGUAAGUGGGUACCACCUACAAUGCUUCUGGCAGUGCUUCUCACAGUGCCUUGUGUGCAGCUCCUGCAUCUGGGCAUCUCCUCUUCCGCUUCCACCAUGACAUCAUGAUGCCAUGACACCAUGAGGAGUGGUGUCCAUCUGACAUGGAAAACAACAGCAGCCAGGCUCUUCUGGAUAUUGCUUCACUUGAAAUUGCUGGACAUAGCCCAUUUGCACCCUCCAGGUCUAAUUCUAGAAUAGGGACAAGUGUUUCUUCCUCCUUUCAGUUCAUCAAGCUCCUCAUGCAGUAGCUGUGUCUGAAGGCUCAGAACUGGGUUCAUGACAGGUUGUUUCUAUUCUGUACAUGCGCUGGCACAUUCUCAUCCAGCGGCAGCAAAGGUUUGUUUCUGCAUUUUCCCUCCUCAAUAACUCUAUAAUUUGGGAAGCAGAUUUCAUUUUGCUUAUUCUGUCCAACUGUUUAUUAUGCUGGAUUUCUAAGGCACUUAUGCUUGGCUCGGUGAUUCCUCAGAAAGGGAAUGGUGCCUAUUAUUAUAGUUAACCCUGUAAAUUGUCUAAUGAAUAAUUAAAUACCAUGUUGUCUGUAAUUCAGCUUUGUUGGUUUGGUCAGUCAAUUGCUGGUUACUGCUCCUCUCAGACAAAAACCUUGCUGUGAAGCUUAUUUAAAAUUCAGCAUUUGCUAAUUAGCAUUGUUCCAAAUGUAAUUCUAAGUGCCACUUCUUCAGGCAAUUCAAGAGAGCAAUGUAGAACUUCAGUGUCUCUAUGGAUACCAUCUAUAAUUUAAAAGAUAGAAACAACAAUUUAAUGCCUUGUAAUACUUCAAAAAUCACCAGUAUCUCUUUCCAAAAUACCCCCAAAAUACAAAUAUAGAAGGGACUAAGGACUGUGCCCCAUUAGUAUAUGAAGCCAAUUUGUUGAAGAUCACUGAAUAGUGACAGAGAUGAUUCACUGAAACUAGUUGAGGGCUGAGUUAAAACACUAGGAUUAGUCUCAGGGGUUUAAAUUAAAUACUGAAUAAAUAUUUAAAAUGCAAAAGAUCAAAUCGUUAGGCACAUGUGCCAGCUGUAGGAAGGCAAAAGCAUUUUGUUGGAUUUAUGCACAGCAAGACCAAGAAAUGAAUUCAACAGCCCUGCUAACCAUCUGGCUCCCAGGAUUGUAAGCCAUGACUGAUCAUAAUUUCCAGAGCAGACAGAAGAGGGUUUGAUCACCUGCACUGGGCAUUGUGCCUCCAGCAACACCUUGUGAUGCUUCAGAGAAAAACACUGGGCAUGACAGAAAGGCAAGGUCUCCUGUAAAUAAACAACAACCACAAAGGCAAGAUCUGAUGAGCAAUGCGAGAUGCGAGAUGUACGUAUAAAGCUGGACCUCCUUCUGCACGUAAGUAUUAUGGCUGAUCAAAAGCUCAUCCAGGAGCUGGUUGGGAAGAGGAACAGAGGAUAGAGACAUAUACAGCUCUUGCGUCUCUCAGGGCUUGAAGACAUUAGGAUGCCUCCCAUAGAUAGGGUAGACAAAAGGGCUGAGUUCAAUGCAAGAAAAACAUGCAGGAAGCAAAAGUCAUGCAAAGCUUGGUAUGUGUGCUGCAGGUCGUGGUGGCACCAACCCUGGGCAUGGAGGAUGGCUUCGCCCUGGGCCAGGUGAGAUGGCAGGUAGCAGAGUGUUAAGUUUGACAAGAACACCAAAGAGUCAAUUAAAUCAGCUGGGAGAGAAAGGUAAUGUGGGGAAGGAGGAAGAGAUGGAUGAGAGGCAGUGGCCAUACGUUGCACCAGGGGAGGUUCAGGUUGGAUGUGAGGAAAAAUUUACUCUCAGAAAGAGUG
Molecule: non-coding RNA, 11118 nt
Organism: Meleagris gallopavo (turkey)
Lineage: Eukaryota; Metazoa; Chordata; Aves; Galliformes; Phasianidae
Source: RefSeq, a predicted model, not a curated record